This 177-nucleotide microRNA precursor is filed under the name Olea europaea subsp. europaea. RNAcentral describes it as "MIR168 microRNA precursor family". It matches the Rfam family "MIR168 microRNA precursor family". The record is from Rfam by way of RNAcentral. Lineage: Eukaryota; Viridiplantae; Streptophyta; Magnoliopsida; Lamiales; Oleaceae.
AUUGCGGCGGUCUCUAAUUCGCUUGGUGCAGGUCGGGAAUCAAGUUCCUCGUACAGAAAUUAUGGGCAUCUGAUAAUGUUAAUUCAUAUUACUAUAUGGUUUAUAAUUGAAGUCGAUUCUUUUAAGCGAGAAUUAGGUUCCCGCCUUGCAUCAACUGAAUCUGAGGCCGCGAUGAAU